RNAcentral lists this ribosomal RNA (272 nucleotides) under uncultured prokaryote. Its description in RNAcentral is "partial 16S ribosomal RNA". It matches the Rfam family "Bacterial small subunit ribosomal RNA", at positions 505 to 776 of the family's 1533-position model. The record is from RNAcentral.
GUGUCAGCAGCCGCGGUAAUACGGAGGGUGCAAGCGUUAAUCGGAAUUACUGGGCGUAAAGCGCACGCAGGCGGUUUGUUAAGUCAGAUGUGAAAUCCCCGGGCUCAACCUGGGAACUGCAUCUGAUACUGGCAAGCUUGAGUCUCGUAGAGGGGGGUAGAAUUCCAGGUGUAGCGGUGAAGUGCGUAGAGAUCUGGAGGAAUACCGGUGGCGAAGGCGGCCCCCUGGACGAAGACUGACGCUCAGGUGCGAAAGCGUGGGGAGCAAACAGG